CUGCUGUAAAGAUGCCAGCUGCAGUGGGGCAGGCGCAGCCAGGGCUGCAUGCUCCACUGAGUCGGCAGGAGCCAGAAACAGG
Chlorocebus sabaeus (green monkey) is the source of this 82-nucleotide microRNA precursor. NCBI's taxonomy places the organism in Eukaryota, Metazoa, Chordata, Mammalia, Primates, Cercopithecidae. The record is from Ensembl.